This 1082-nucleotide long non-coding RNA is filed under the name Mytilus galloprovincialis (Mediterranean mussel). Lineage: Eukaryota; Metazoa; Mollusca; Bivalvia; Mytilida; Mytilidae. The record is from RNAcentral.
UUGCCAACUCGUAAAAAUUAUGUUUUUAUUGAACAAUCGUCCCAAGUGACACAUGGAUUCUACUGCGCAUGUCAAUACAUUUCAUUCAUAAAAUUCAAGCACAGGUGCGUGGAAUUUACUACGAUUUACUACGAUCUACUACAGUUGCUACAAUUGGAUCUUCACAAAAAUACAAGACAUACAGUUGGAUUAUUCAGUGGAUUAUUACUAUGAACUGGUAAAUUAUUACAUGAACUUCAACUGGUUUAUCAAAUAUAUGCAAAUGACAGUAAUUCAAUAUUUCUACAAGAAUCAUAAUAUUGUAAUUGUUCUAACUUUACUUUAUUAAAUGUUAAUUAAAACUUAUUUGCUUCAAUUAUCAUAUGUUCCAGACUACAAGCAUUACAAGUAGUAUAAUACAAGUUAUUUCACACAGUUACUGUUUCCUACAUAAUAACUUUCAUAAAAAAUACAGAAUAUUAAACAGUAUGCUUUAUCAAUACCAAUUUAAAACAUACAUCAAAAAUAUCUUACAUGUCUAUCACACGUCACAAUAAAAUACAUGUACCCUAGUCGUCGUACUCUACAUUUUACCCCCUUUCCAUUAUUUGCGUCCCCGCAAAUACUUUAAACUUUUGCAAAAGUUUCCAUUUCAAAAUUUUUCUAUGUCUUAAAUACAUAUUCUUCUUAAAAAGAAAUUAUUUCUAAAACUGGAAUGAAAUUAGCUUUCUUAUUAAUACAAUCUAUGAUUAUAACACAAAUACAUCAUAAUAUAAUACCAGAUAUGUAAAAAUUAUACAUAAUUAUAUGUCUUUUUAUAUUAAUUUUACAGAUACACCAGUUAUUAUAUUUUAAUAUUAUAUUUUACAGAUACACCUGAAGUUUCACCAUUAUGACCAUCAGCACGAGGGCAGUAGAUACCGAUGACAGACAUAUAUAUGUACCAAAUGUGGAAAAUUACUGAACGUUAUGAACAAACUGGAACAUGGCUAAGAACCAGAGGUUUCUGAAGGAAAAUUUUAGUUACCAUGCAAACAGUACCAAAAUAUUUAAAUAUAAGUUCAAAAAUACACCCAAAAUUUAACUUUUCACACUUAAAAGCU